RNAcentral lists this unclassified non-coding RNA (348 nucleotides) under soil metagenome. RNAcentral's name for it is "partial contains 5.8S ribosomal RNA, internal transcribed spacer 2, and large subunit ribosomal RNA". The stretch from base 1 to 120 matches the Rfam family "5.8S ribosomal RNA", at positions 35 to 154 of the family's 154-position model. The record is from RNAcentral.
GAUGAAGAACGUAGCGAAAUGCGAUAAGUAAAGUGAAUUGCAGAAUUCAGUGAAUCAUCGAAUCUUUGAACGCACAUUGCGCCCGCCAGUAUUCUGGCGGGCAUGCCUGUCUGAGCGUCAUUUCAACCCUCAUGCCCCUAGGGCGUGGUGUUGGGGAUCGGCCAAAGCCCGCGAGGGACGGCCGGCCCCUAAAUCUAGUGGCGGACCCGUCGUGGCCUCCUCUGCGAAGUAGUGAUAUUCCGCAUCGGAGAGCGAUGAGCCCCUGCCGUUAAACCCCCAACUUUCCAAGGUUGACCUCAGAUCAGGUAGGAAUACCCGCUGAACUUAAGCAUAUCAAUAAGCGGAGGA